AACGAACGCUGGCGGCAGGCCUAACACAUGCAAGUCGAACGCCCUAGCAAUAGAGAGUGGCAGACGGGUGAGUAACGCGUGGGAACCUUCCCAAUGGUACGGAAUAGCCCAGGGAAACUUGGAGUAAUACCGUAUAAGCCCCUAGGGGGAAAGAUUUAUCGCCAUUGGAUGGGCCCGCGUCGGAUUAGCUAGUUGGUAGGGUAAUGGCCUACCAAGGCAACGAUCCGUAGCUGGUUUGAGAGAAUGACCAGCCACACUGGGACUGAGACACGGCCCAGACUCCUACGGGAGGCAGCAGUGGGGAAUCUUGGACAAUGGGCGAAAGCCUGAUCCAGCCAUGCCGCGUGAGUGACGAAGGCCUUAGGGUUGUAAAGCUCUUUUGCCGGGGACGAUAAUGACGGUACCCGGAGAAUAAGUCCCGGCUAACUUCGUGCCAGCAGCCGCAGUAAGAC
Molecule: ribosomal RNA, 452 nt
Filed under: uncultured bacterium
Lineage: Bacteria
Description: bacterial SSU rRNA
Rfam family: Bacterial small subunit ribosomal RNA
Source: RNAcentral